AAGACCUUGCGCUUUUGGAGCGGCCGAUGCCUGAUUAGCUAGUUGGUGGGGUAAUGGCCUACCAAAGCUUCGAUCAGUAGCUGGUCUGAGAGGACGGCCAGCCACACUGGGACUGAGACACGGCCCAGACUCCUACGGGAGGCAGCAGUGGGGAAUUUUGGACAAUGGGCGCAAGCCUGAUCCAGCCAUGCCGCGUGAGUGAAGAAGGCCUUCGGGUUGUAAAGCUCUUUCAGCCGGGAAGAAAAGGUUGCGAUUAAUAAUCGCAAUUUAUGACGGUACCGGAAGAAGAAGCACCGGCUAACUACGUGCCAACAGCCGCGGUAAUACGUAGGGUGCGAGCGUUAAUCGGAAUUACUGGGCGUAAAGGGUGCGCAGGCGGUUUUGUAAGUCAGAUGUGAAAUCCCCGGGCUUAACCUGGGAACU
This 423-nucleotide ribosomal RNA is filed under the name uncultured bacterium. Its description in RNAcentral is "bacterial SSU rRNA". It matches the Rfam family "Bacterial small subunit ribosomal RNA", at positions 207 to 622 of the family's 1533-position model. The record is from RNAcentral.